GGUAUUUUCAAACAUAUAGGGAAAGCAGAGAGUAUAAUAAACCCCCGUGUACCCCAAAACCCAGUCUGGGUAAUUAGCACCUCUAGCAACAGGCAGCUAAUCUUGUUUUAACUCUACCCCAGUUCACUUUAUCACCACCAGACUGAACUAGUUUAUAGCAAAACAAAAAAAAACAAAACAAAAAAACAAACAAAAAAAAGAAUUACCUUAAUACUAUUGUUACUCUUUAAAAAAUUCUUUAAUAAGUAUCCAGUAGUUGUUCAAAUUUCCUUGAUAGUAUCAUUUUUUUAAAUUGUUAGCUUGCCUGAAAAGUCUUUACAUUGCAUUUGUUGAUAUAUAUCUGUUAGGUCUCUUUUGAUCUAUAGACUCCUGUUCUUUUUUCUCCUUGUCUUUUAUUUAUUGAAGAAAUGGGUCAUUUGUCCUUAGAGCAGUGCUUCUCAAACUUGAAUGUGCAUGCAGAUCACUCCAGGGUCUUAUUAAAAUGCAGAUUCUGAUUCAAGAGGUCUGGGUGCGGCCCGAGACUGCAUUUCUGACCCCCUUCUUGGUGAUGCUGAUGUUGCAGGUCCGUGGACCACACUUUGAGUAGUAAGGCUGUAGUGUUGCGCAGAUUCUGGAUUUUGCCAACUGCAUCUCUGGGGUGUCUUUUAAACAUAGUCUAUCCCUUGUAUUUUCACUAAAUUGGUAUUUUUAGAUCUACAGGCUUGACUAGAUUUAGGGUUGGCUUUUUGGCAAGAUUACUUUAUUAGUGGGGCUGUAUAUUUCCUAUUGCAUCUCAUUAGGAAGCACAUAAUUUGGUUGUCUCUUUUUUGUGAUUUUUAGACUGAUCAGUGGAUUCAGGUGUUAUCAGCCUAUACCUUCUAUUAUACAGUUCUUGUCUUGACCCAUUAAUAUAGUCCCCUAAUGGUAGGAUACCCUAGCACCUUCCCUGUACCUUUCUUCUAAAUCUCUACAGAUGCUAUUUUCUCCAUAAAUUAUUUCUCGUAUAGUCUCUUAAAAGGAUCUCUCUCUCUUUUUCUUUCUUUUUUUUUUUUUUUUUUAAGACUGAGUCUCACUCUGUUGCCCAGGCUAGAGUGCAGUGGCGUGAUCUUGGCUCACUGCAACCUCCACCUCCCAGGUUCAAGUGAUUCUCCUGCCUCAGCCUCCCAAGUAGCUGGGACUACAGGCACGUGCCACCAUGCCCGGCUAUUUUUGUAUUUUUAGCAGAGAUGGGGUUUCACCUUGUUGGCCAGGCUGGUCUUGAACUACUGACCUCAAGUGAUCUGCCUGCCUUGGCUUCCCAAAGUGCUGGGAUUACUGGCGUGAGGCACCAUGCCCAGCCCCUCUUCUCCAAUUGUAACCCACCCACCUUGAUCCUUGAUUCCAUCCUCGCUGGCUCUGAUUGCAUCUCCAGCAUUUUCUUUUCAUUUACCUGCAAGUAUGUUAAAUGUCCACUAUUCCAAAGAAAUUGCUGUCUACCAGAUCUACUGGCCCAUCCUUCUCCCCUUUCCUUUCAAAUUUCUCCAAACAGACCAGAUUAGCCUCCUCAUCUCCUUAAUCCCAUUCGGAUUGGAUCCUAGCCCAUUACCUCUGAAACUGCUUUGUUGAAGGUCACAGACGUGAUCAUCUCUUUUUAGACUGUCUCAUCUUUGGCCUCUCUGCAACAUUUCAUCUUCUCUUCUUUUUAAAACUCUCUAUUUUCCAUGGAAUUGUUCUGUUUUGGUUCUCUUCAUUCUCUACUUUGAUUUGACUGAAUAAUAUGGCACUGUUCUUCAUUAAUUUAUUUCUAAAGCUCUUUUUUGCAUUGUCUCUUUGUACCACUUUAAUUGACAAGUAGUAUUUUAAAAGGUAGUUUUCAGUUCCAAAGUGUACUAUUAAUCUCUUUCAGCUAGCAUCAAAUGAAAACUAUCAGAAUAAAAUAUUUCUGGAAAGCAGACUGUACUAAAUGAUCUAAUAAAAAGAAAGUUUAGUUAAACAGUCUAACAUAAUGCUGUAAAAAACCAAAGCCAAAAGAUCAUGAAACAAGAUCAGCAUGAGAUUCAGGAAACCUCGUGACUGGUCUCAGACCAAGCGCAUUUCUCCCCUUUUUCCAAUCUGUUUCUUCUUCAGCAAAUUGUGAGUGUUGAACUAGAAGAUUUCAAGUUCUAAACUUCAAUUAGCUUGCUCCCUGAAAACCAGCUCCUCUUCCUGACUCCACAAUUUCUGUUAAUGCCAAUGACACCAUUAUGCUCCCAACAUUACAGGCUGAGCUUUGAACUGUCAGUUGGCUGAGACUAGUUCUUGUCCCUUCCUUCUGUCCACUGUUCUUCUGCAACAUCUGUCACAUCCAGACCUUUUCUAUGUCCAUUGUCCCUGCUGCCAUCACCAAAAUUCCUGGAUUCUGACUUCUGUUCCAUACAUCUCACCUGGGCCAUUGCAAUACCUCUCCAAGGCUUCCUUAACCCCAUGUCCAUCUGUUGGUCCUCCCACCUAUCUUGCCUAUCCUUGCCCUAUUGAUCUUCCUAAAGCACAACUCUGAUAAAAUUGCUUCUCUUCUCAAAAACUUUCCAUGUGACGGGUGCGGUGGCUCACACCUGUAAUCCCAGCUCUUUGGGAGGCCGAGGCAGGCAGAUCAUGAGGUCAGGAGAUCGAGACCAUCCUGGCUAACAUGGUGAAACCCCAUCUCUACUAAAAAUACAAACCAUUAGCUGGGCGUGGUGGCGGGCGCCUGUAGUCCCAGCUACUCGGGAGGCUGAGGCAGGAGAAUGGCAUGAACCCGGGAGGCGGAGCUUGCAGUGAGCCGAGAUGGCACCACUGCACCCCAGCCUGGGUGACAGAGCGAGACUCCGUCUCAAAGAAAAAAACUUUCCAUGGUUUCUAAUUGCCCAUGGAACUGAAUUGAGAUUAACUGAGGUACUACUGUGUUCUUACACUAUACAUUAUAAAAUAUUUGCAAAACUAAAUUGGCAAGUGGAAAUUAGAUGAAUGUAAAUAGAAGGCCUAAUAUGCAGUGUUCUACAGUCCAGUGGACCAUCCUGUGUACUCUCCUAGACCUUUGGUAUUCAUAGCCUCCAAUAAUCCCCUCCAACCUAGAUUUGUAGUUACUUCAAGCUCUGAGAUGAUUCUCAUAUUCUCUCCUAUUAUUCCCCAUGUGCGUGUAUGCACUCUGUCCAUGCUGACCUCUGUGUUCUUUCCUGAGCAACCCUCCAUGCACUCUACCCUGCAUGAACUGCUUCCAUCUCUACAUGUUCAAGUUCCAGUCAUGCUUUAAGGCCCAACCCGGAUUCCACUUUUUCCAGAAAGCCUUAUGAUCGUCUGUCCCUGAAUUUCCCUACUUGGCACCUUGGUUCCUGCCUUGUGACACUCAUAUGUGCUGCUCUGCAUUGAUAUAUAGUUGUUUGUGACAGACCUUGGUUCCUCUACUCAAUCCAGAGCUCCUGGAAGUAGUGAGAAUGUCUCCUUUCAUCUUUGAAUCCCCCACACCACCUACCACAGGGUUCUUCAUAGGUAUUUGAAUGGAUGAUGUGUCCUAAUCAGUGCACCUGAGGAAUAGCCUGGUGCCUGGUCCCUGGAUGUCAUCAACUACUAUGGGAUCCAUUCAGUCUAUGUAUAGAUUGAAUGGAUAUAUGUAUCUCCACUCACAAUUUGCUGAAGAAGACACAGAUUGGAAAAAGGGGGGAAAUGUGCUAUAUAUAUAUAUAUAUAUAUAUAUAUAUAUAUACAUAUGUAUAUAUAUAUACCCA
This 3698-nucleotide long non-coding RNA is filed under the name Homo sapiens (human). Its description in RNAcentral is "HSALNT0316823". The record is from RNAcentral. Lineage: Eukaryota; Metazoa; Chordata; Mammalia; Primates; Hominidae.